UAAUACAUCGGAACGUGUCUUCUAGUGGGGGAUAACUGCCCGAAAGGGCAGCUAAUACCGCAUGAGACCUGAGGGUGAAAGCGGGGGAUCGCAAGACCUCGCGCUGGAAGAGCGGCCGAUAUCAGAUUAGGUAGUUGGUGAGGUAAAGGCUCACCAAGCCGACGAUCUGUAGCUGGUCUGAGAGGACGACCAGCCACACUGGGACUGAGACACGGCCCAG
This 220-nucleotide ribosomal RNA is filed under the name uncultured bacterium. RNAcentral's name for it is "partial 16S ribosomal RNA". It matches the Rfam family "Bacterial small subunit ribosomal RNA", at positions 111 to 334 of the family's 1533-position model. The record is from RNAcentral.